GAGCCCGUAGCUCAGUUGGUAGAGCAUCGCCCUUUUAAGGCGGGUGUCGAUGGUUCGAGCCCAUCCGGGCUCA
This 73-nucleotide transfer RNA is filed under the name Candidatus Omnitrophota bacterium. Its description in RNAcentral is "tRNA-Lys". It matches the Rfam family "tRNA". From Rfam's summary of the family: Transfer RNA (tRNA) molecules are approximately 80 nucleotides in length. Their secondary structure includes four short double-helical elements and three loops (D, anti-codon, and T loops). The record is from RNAcentral. Lineage: Bacteria; Pseudomonadati; Candidatus Omnitrophota.